CCUCUGACGGUACCUGAGGAAUCAGCCUCGGCUAACUCCGUGCCAGCAGCCGCGGUAAUACGGAGGAGGCAAGCGUUAUCCGGAAUUAUUGGGCGUAAAGCGUCCGCAGGUGGCGAUUCAAGUCUGCUGUCAAAGCACGGGGCUUAACUCCGUUAAGGCAGUGGAAACUGAAUAGCUAGAGUGCCGUAGGGGUAGAGGGAAUUCCCGGUGUAGCGGUGAAAUGCGUAGAGAUCGGGAAGAACAUCGGUGGCGAAAGCGCUCUACUGGACGGCAACUGACACUCAGGGACGAAAGCUAGGGGAGCGAAUGGGAUUAGAUACCCCAGUAGUCCUAGCUGUAAACGAUGGAUACUAGGUGUAGCUUGUAUCGACCCGAGCUGUGCCGAAGCUAACGCGUUAAGUAUCCCGCCUGGGGAGUACGCACGCAAGUGUGAAACUCAAAGGAAUUGACGGGGGCCGCACAGCGGUGGAGUAUGUGGCUCAAUCGAUGCAACGCGAAGAACCUUACCAGGGCUUGACAUGUCCGGAAUCCCAGUGAAAGCUGGGAGUGCCUUC
RNAcentral lists this ribosomal RNA (554 nucleotides) under uncultured organism. RNAcentral describes it as "bacterial SSU rRNA". It matches the Rfam family "Bacterial small subunit ribosomal RNA", at positions 466 to 1021 of the family's 1533-position model. The record is from RNAcentral.